Cricetulus griseus (Chinese hamster) is the source of this 127-nucleotide small nucleolar RNA. Ensembl annotates it as small nucleolar RNA SNORA25. Lineage: Eukaryota; Metazoa; Chordata; Mammalia; Rodentia; Cricetidae. The record is from Ensembl.
AGGUCAUUUCAAAGAGGGCUUGUUGGGCUGAAACCAAAAGCUCUUAACGCUGUGACCAAAGAUAGAUGUUCUCCACAGAAUAAAACAGGCACUUGAUAGUGCUAUGUUUUUCUGAGAAGAUACAUGC